AGGGAGGAGAGAAAGAAGAGACCAAGGCAGGGAGGGGAGGGACACAGAGGGGGCGGGAGAGAAGAAAGGGGGAAAAGAAAGAUAGAAGGAGAGGAGACAAAGAGAGCGGAGAAGGGAGAUGCGGGGGGCGGGGAGGACAGACAAACCCAUGCAAUGGAAUCAAUCGGACCAAGGGCGGCCUAGGAGGCUUCUGCAAAGAGCUAAAGUUCACCCUGUUUCAUGGAAGGAAGCAGCUCCAAACCCGGCCGAGUCAGCAAAGUGUAAUCACACCAGGGGCUUUGCUUAAUGACAGGUCUGAGAGCUGGGGCUGGAGGAAGGGCGAGACUGUGUCCCCGGGAAGGCCCAGGAGCUCAAAAGAUUGGCAGAGAAGAAAACAUCAUCAAUAAACCCUGACAAAAGUGAACGUGUGAAAAAGAGCAGAGAAUGGAAAAGUGAGAUCAACGUGAUAUCCGGUCACAGAUUCCAGCGGCAGAUGACAAGCCCGGGCCGAAGAAUCUCCCUGGACCAUCACCCCUUUGCGGCUUUCCUUCCCUUUGCAGAAACUCUUCAUUCAAGACAAUAGGAAAUGCAUUAAAACUUUUUUCUUAUGCUAAUGCAUGAAACCGGGCACUCACGUUAAAAUACACUUCCCGCAACUUUUUUUUUCUUUUAAACAGCAUACAUGCACACACAAAACCACCUUAACUUAUUCCAUUUAAACCCCAUAUCUCAAAAACAGUUUAAUAUGAAUCUUUGGUCACAUCUUAAGUGAGUUCUUUUCCCCCAUGGGCAUGUUUUUAAGAAGCCAGAAUCAUAAUAGAAACAGGACUAUACUAAGUAUGCUUCUUAGGUAGAUGAAGGAAUUGGGGGGAAAAUAAGACACUAAAAAGGCAAAAAGUAUCAUUAGUACCUUUUCCCAACACUUUCAACAUAGUUUUGUAGGUUGAGGAUGUUUUUGUCACCUCCAAAAUCUAAAAACAACCAUCAAUGAUUUUUUUUUUUAAUCCUUUUCAGUCCACAGCAAAAUGAACAAACAUCCAAGUACAUUUUGGAAUAAAUAGUAUUGAUUCUGGUGUCA
This 1057-nucleotide long non-coding RNA is filed under the name Sus scrofa (pig). RNAcentral describes it as "lncRNA (ENSSSCG00040018503.1)". The record is from RNAcentral. Lineage: Eukaryota; Metazoa; Chordata; Mammalia; Artiodactyla; Suidae.